CAAUUUGCUUGAAAAUGUCAAAUGUCAAACAAAAUUGUGAAAAAUGUAAAAUAUUUUUGUGAAAUACAUUUAUUAUAGACAAAAAGUGUUAGUAAAGGUUUAUCGAUUGAUUUGUCUACAACUAUUACAAUAAAUAUAAUGAAUUAAGUGUAAUAUUCGCACAAACGAAAUGGGAGCUACAGCAGCAGACAUAACCCUUUGUAUGUGCAAACACAAGCAACCACUUUUCGGCUGAUUAACUACAACAAUUUUUCAGAAAAGUAACAAAAAACGGCAAUUAAGCAAUUGAGAGCGCAAAGAGUGCCAAAAAAGUGCGGCUGGUACUAUCAACAAAGUUGAAAUUUAAUUACAUCAAAAAGGCCAGCAAUAUACAUACAUAUGUACAUAUAUAUGUAUGUAAUCACGUGCAUACCUACAUGUGUAUGUACGAUAUUUGCCAACAGUCAAAGCGUAUGACAAGUGAAAGCACAGCCUAGAAAACGCCCGCGCCACAGCGCUUGGUGUGAAUUGUUGAAAAGUAAUCACAUUUCAGUUGUUUAAGCCAGAAAGAUUUUUUGGCAAUACACAGCUGUCAGUAUCACAUGACAAGCAGGCAAAAAAAAUGCAAAAAAUAUAUAAAACAACAACAACAAGAACAGUGCAAAAAACACUAUGUAACACAUAAGUGAAAUGGCAGCAGGAAAAACCUACGCAUAUGCAACGCACAAACGCUUGUUUAUAUAAAUGUAUGUUUGUAGGUAUGUAUGUACAUAUGUAAAAAAAAUAUUUGCUGUGGAAAAAAGUGGCAACAUAAAUCCCCGCUGUAAGUCCUGGAUGAGCUUUUGCUGUGUGGCGACGCGGCGUCAUCAACUUUGAGCAACAGACAAACUGUGACAGCGCGAAAUGUGCAUACGUACAGAU
Bactrocera dorsalis (oriental fruit fly) is the source of this 900-nucleotide long non-coding RNA. RefSeq lists it as uncharacterized. The transcript is spliced from 3 exons. The record is from RefSeq and is a predicted model, not a curated record. NCBI's taxonomy places the organism in Eukaryota, Metazoa, Arthropoda, Insecta, Diptera, Tephritidae.